AUCAACCUUAAGUAUCCCUUCUGCUUCAUCAAUCUGAAGCAACUCCAGUUGGGUCUGCAAGAGCGUUGCAGGCAUGAAAUGCUUUCCCUCAGCUGCUCUCUUGACCAGCCGAGCGGCAAGCACUUCAGCCCCAACGUCCAACAACACGAAUUUAACAAUACUCGCAUAAGAACCUGGUUCAUAAUUUGGGUCUGCAGAUCUAAGGAUUUCCCUGUACCGCUUUUG
RNAcentral lists this unclassified non-coding RNA (225 nucleotides) under Hevea brasiliensis (rubber tree). The record is from RNAcentral. Lineage: Eukaryota; Viridiplantae; Streptophyta; Magnoliopsida; Malpighiales; Euphorbiaceae.